UAGUUAACAAAUAGUGUUCUAUUAGUUCCAGGUGUGCAAUGUGGUGAUUCAACACUUCCGUACAUUACGCGGUGUUCAUCAUGACAAGUACACUCCCUAGGUGAGGGGGUGGGUCAAAUAGGUGAUGGGGAUUAAGGAAAGCAAUUACUUUUAGAGGGAUGCGAUUCUGAUUAUUUAAUGUAAAAAAAAAAUCAGUAUGAAAAAUGGAGAACGCUAGAAGAAGGAAGAGGAAAACAUAAUUUUUAAGUCCAAGGCUCCUCCCACCCUUUACUAAAGACUGUAUGUUGCCAAAUGGGGAGUCAUUUAAAAGUUAAUGUGGUAUUUUCCUUCACUUAAGAAGAUGAUGUGACAGGCCUGAUGGUAGUCCAACAUUAGAUUUUGUUUUUUUUUACCAGCAGCCGGAGUGAAUUUUCCCUGGCGCCCCGUGACUAAUGGGCGGAACUAUCCCCUGGGCGUGCAGAUUCCUUCCCUUCCCUCCACUUUGGAAGGCCUUUCCCUUGUAGCAGGUCUUGAGCCUGGGGAUCCACCGGCUUGAGUGACAACCUCCCUAAGCCCCAUUUCCUCCUCUGUAUACGACGGGGGAUACCUGAGAUGAGGAUGUGAGGUACCCAGGGUGCUGCCGGGAACAAGGUAGGAUUUCUUCCCUUUCCUUCCUCCUCUCUCCAUGCCGCUGCUGAGGGUGCUGUGGAAAGGCAGCCCUUUCAGAGUAAGAAGGAGGGGGACACCC
This 727-nucleotide long non-coding RNA is filed under the name Felis catus (domestic cat). RNAcentral describes it as "lncRNA (ENSFCAG00000045756.2)". The record is from RNAcentral. Lineage: Eukaryota; Metazoa; Chordata; Mammalia; Carnivora; Felidae.